Small nuclear RNA from Physeter macrocephalus (sperm whale), 105 nucleotides. The record is from Ensembl. Lineage: Eukaryota; Metazoa; Chordata; Mammalia; Artiodactyla; Physeteridae.
AUGCUCCCUUCAACAGCACAUAUACUAAAGUUGGAAAUGAUACAGAGAUUAGCAUGGCCCUUGCUCCAGGAUGACAUGCAAAUUUGUGAAGAGCUGCAUAAUUUU